This 477-nucleotide ribosomal RNA is filed under the name Candidatus Scalindua brodae. RNAcentral describes it as "bacterial SSU rRNA". It matches the Rfam family "Bacterial small subunit ribosomal RNA", at positions 365 to 832 of the family's 1533-position model. The record is from RNAcentral. RNAcentral also lists the same sequence under 1 other name. Lineage: Bacteria; Pseudomonadati; Planctomycetota; Candidatus Brocadiia; Candidatus Brocadiales; Candidatus Scalinduaceae.
UUCGCAAUGCCCGAAAGGGUGACGAAGCGACGCCGCGUGGGUGAGGAAGGCCUUCGGGUUGUAAAGCCCUGUCAGGAGUUAAGAAAUGUAAGUGCGCUAAUAUCGCAUUUAUUUGACGAAGGCUCCAAAGGAAGCCACGGCUAACUCUGUGCCAGCAGCCGCGGUAAUACAGAGGUGGCAAGCGUUGUUCGGAAUUAUUGGGCGUAAAGAGCACGUAGGUGGGUUUGCAAGUCAGAUGUGAAAGCCUCCUGUUCAACGGGAGAAUUGCAUCUGAAACUGCAGAUCUUGAGUGUAGGAGGGGAGAAUGGAACUUCUGGUGGAGCGGUGAAAUGCGUAGAUAUCAGAAGGAACGCCGGCGGCGAAAGCGAUUCUCUGGCCUAUUACUGACACUCAGUGUGCGAAAGCUAGGGGAGCAAACGGGAUUAGAUACCCCGGUAGUCCUAGCCGUAAACGAUGGGCACUAAGUAGAGGGGUUUU